Silurus meridionalis is the source of this 72-nucleotide small nucleolar RNA. RefSeq annotates it as small nucleolar RNA U54. The record is from RefSeq and is a predicted model, not a curated record. Lineage: Eukaryota; Metazoa; Chordata; Actinopteri; Siluriformes; Siluridae. The transcript has a single exon.
UGGCAAUGAGGACAACAUUUCAUUACAAUGAUUCUAUGUGAAUUACAAAUUAUACGCUAUUCUGAGCCGAUG